CCAGGUUUCGACGGGGAUCGGAAGCGCAGGUUGCAUGCCGGAGUGGGCUGGCUCCGUAAAAAAGCCCAACUCAACAAACGCCGACAACGACGUUCGUUACGCACUGGCCGCCUAAUUAGGCGACCGCAUCCUUGAACUCCUCGCCCACGGGGGAUCUCGGAUGUCAUUUAGUGGGCUAGUCGUGGCGAGUGCCUGUGGCGCCGCGGCGAAACUUAGCAGGCUCGCCCGAAAGGGAUCCCGUCCGUGGGAGACUCUAGGGUUAACUGAAAACGCGGACUAAGCAUGUAGACGCCUGACGUGGAUGGUUUUCGGACGCGGGUUCGAUUCCCGCC
This 332-nucleotide transfer-messenger RNA is filed under the name Deltaproteobacteria bacterium. It matches the Rfam family "transfer-messenger RNA". Rfam says of the family: Bacterial tmRNA, also known as 10Sa RNA or SsrA, is named for its dual tRNA and mRNA-like properties. Its role is to liberate the mRNA from a stalled ribosome. To accomplish this part of the tmRNA is used as a reading frame that ends in a translation stop signal. The record is from RNAcentral. Lineage: Bacteria; Pseudomonadati; Myxococcota; Myxococcia.